AGGAUUGUACAACCCUUCUGUCCAGUGGCCCUGGGAACUUCUAGGACUUCCUGAGCCUGUUUUUGCCUAUUUAUUGUGCUGUUUCCUCUGGAAGCUGCUUGGACACUUAAUCUGGUGAAUGCUGGGGGCAAAGGAGAUACAAGAAAACUGUCCUGCCCAACCUGGUGGAGGAACUGGUGAUGGAAACGUGACAUCUACUCAAGAAAGACAAAGAAAGUCUUCUCCACCUCCAGACUUUUCCUCUGACUAUAGACUAGCCCAGUAAGUUCUCUGGGUGUGGCGCCCUCUUGCCUGCCGACUUGUAAGCCUCAUAAGUAUCCUUUUCUAAUAAAUCACUUCUUAUCUA
This is a long non-coding RNA of Bubalus bubalis (water buffalo), 346 nucleotides long. RefSeq lists it as uncharacterized. Lineage: Eukaryota; Metazoa; Chordata; Mammalia; Artiodactyla; Bovidae. The transcript is spliced from 2 exons. The record is from RefSeq and is a predicted model, not a curated record.